UGCAGUGAACGCAGGCGCAGGCUCUGGAGUGAGAAAUUGUGGGUUUUCAUCUCCUUGCAUCUAUGUUGUGGGGCUUUGACCAAGAAAUGGGCUUCCUGGAUCAGAGGCCGAAUUUCCGAGCAGGAUAGACCAGGGGGCUCGAACUAAUAAUUCUGAGGGGUCAGAAAGGCCUCUCAGAACGCGCCGCGAUUUGAAACCUGCAAACGCGGGGUUCAGGUCCACUAAGACCGAGAGAGAGAGAGAAGUCGACUCUGGCGCACCCGGGCGAGGGGCUGCCGGGAUUCGGGAGCUGGCGCGGUUGAUUUUUUCCGAGAAUCCUCCACUUGUGGUGACGUCGGGCAGUGCGCGCGGGCCGUGAGGUUAAUGCCCAGGCUUUUCUCUAAAGCGUCCGGGAAUGAUCUGGCCAAUAAAACGGGUGUCUGCAAAGUUAA
Molecule: long non-coding RNA, 431 nt
Organism: Gorilla gorilla gorilla (western lowland gorilla)
Lineage: Eukaryota; Metazoa; Chordata; Mammalia; Primates; Hominidae
Exons: 3
Source: RefSeq, a predicted model, not a curated record